UUAUGAGGAGAAGGAGGAGGAGCAGAAUUUUCUUGUCUGAAGCUCUCAGAGCUAGAGAAAUGGAUGGUGCUGGAUGGAACAUUUGGUUCCUCUGAGGCGCUGACAUUGCCUUGGUGGUGAUAUGAGGCAACAGGAAUGGAAAUGCACUUCUCCAGGAGAGGGAAAAGCUUAUUGUUUCAAGAAAUGCCCAGUUUUCAUGGGCCCGUCGUGGGGUGAUGGAUGGCUGGGGACGCCCAGCGAGGAUAUCUGUCUCCACCAAGGCUCUGGGUGCUCCCUGGCUGCCCUUUCCCAGCCACCAGCAGAGUUUCCAGCGUGGAGGGGGAUCUAUAAAACAUGACUUGUAAAGAGAAAGAGCUGGCAUUUGACUCCUGAAGGGAAAGAGAUGGUGGAGAGCUGCGAAGAAGAUGGAUGCCCCCCUCCCCGAAAUAUAAAGAAAUAUGUGCAGAAAAUGAAAGAGAUUUAAAGCAGCUAUCAAUCGGUCGCUGUUCCAGCUUUAAGAGCUGUUGAAACAACAUAAUAAAAGGCAAUAAACAAGAGAUUUAUGACCUACC
RNAcentral lists this long non-coding RNA (551 nucleotides) under Chloebia gouldiae (Gouldian finch). RNAcentral describes it as "Erythrura gouldiae (Gouldian finch) lncRNA (ENSEGOG00005007359.1)". The record is from RNAcentral. Lineage: Eukaryota; Metazoa; Chordata; Aves; Passeriformes; Passeridae.